GCUUGCUUCCUGGUGGCGAGCGGCGGACGGGUGAGUAAUGCAUAGAAAUCUGCCCGGUAGUGGGGGAUAACCUGGGGAAACCCAGGCUAAUACCGCAUACGUCCUACGGGAGAAAGCAGGGGAUCUUCGGACCUUGCGCUAUCGGAUGAGUCUAUGUCGGAUUAGCUUGUUGGUGAGGUAAUGGCUCACCAAGGCGACGAUCCGUAGCUGGUCUGAGAGGAUGAUCAGCCACAUCGGGACUGAGACACGGCCCGAACUCCUACGGGAGGCAGCAGUGGGGAAUAUUGGACAAUGGGCGAAAGCCUGAUCCAGCCAUGCCGCGUGUGUGAAGAAGGCCUUCGGGUUGUAAAGCACUUUCAGUGGGGAAGAAAGCCUUGGGGCUAAUACCCUCGAGGAAGGACAUCACCCACAGAAGAAGCACCGGCUAACUCCGUGCCAGCAGCCGCGGUAAUACGGAGGGUGCGAGCGUUAAUCGGAAUUACUGGGCGUAAAGCGCGCGUAGGCGGUCUGAUAAGCCGGUUGUGAAAGCCCCGGGCUCAACCUGGGAACGGCAUCCGGAACUGUCAGGCUAGAGUGCAGGAGAGGAAGGUAGAAUUCCCGGUGUAGCGGUGAAAUGCGUAGAGAUCGGGAGGAAUACCAGUGGCGAAGGCGGCCUUCUGGACUGACACUGACGCUGAGGUGCGAAAGCGUGGGUAGCAAACAGGAUUAGAUACCCUGGUAGUCCACGCCGUAAACGAUGUCGACUAGCCGUUGGGCUCCUUGAGAGCUUUGUGGCGCAGUUAACGCGAUAAGUCGACCGCCUGGGGAGUACGGCCGCAAGGUUAAAACUCAAAUGAAUUGACGGGGGCCCGCACAAGCGGUGGAGCAUGUGGUUUAAUUCGAUGCAACGCGAAGAACCUUACCUACCCUU
This 910-nucleotide ribosomal RNA is filed under the name Halomonas sp. C3B-2. Its description in RNAcentral is "bacterial SSU rRNA". It matches the Rfam family "Bacterial small subunit ribosomal RNA", at positions 78 to 982 of the family's 1533-position model. The record is from RNAcentral. Lineage: Bacteria; Pseudomonadati; Pseudomonadota; Gammaproteobacteria; Oceanospirillales; Halomonadaceae.